AUUGAACGCUAGCGGCAUGCCUUACACAUGCAAGUCGAACGGUAACGCGGGGCAACCUGGCGACGAGUGGCGAAUGGGUGAGUAAUGCAUCGGAACGUGCCCAGUAGUGGGGGAUAGCCCGGCGAAAGCCGGAUUAGUACCGCAUACGACCUUCGGGUGAAAGGGGGGGAUCGCAAGACCUCUCGCUAUUGGAGCGGCCGAUGUCAGAUUAGGUAGUUGGUGGGGUAAAAGCCUACCAAGCCGACGAUCUGUAGCUGUCUGAGAGGACGACCAGCCACACUGGGACUGAGACACGGCCCAGACUCCUACGGGAGGCAGCAGUGGGGAAUUUUGGACAAUGGGCGCAAGCCUGAUCCAGCCAUGCCGCGUGCGGGAAGAAGGCCUUCGGGUUGUAAACCGCUUUUGUCAGGGAAGAAACGCUUCGAGCUAAUACCUCGGAGUAAUGACGGUACCUGAAGAAUAAGCACCGGCUAACUACGUGCCAGCCGCCGCUGUAA
Molecule: ribosomal RNA, 497 nt
Filed under: uncultured bacterium
Lineage: Bacteria
Description: partial 16S ribosomal RNA
Rfam family: Bacterial small subunit ribosomal RNA
Source: RNAcentral